GACGAACGCUGGCGGCGUGCCUAAUACAUGCAAGUAGAACGCUGAAGAGAGGAGCUUGCUCUUCUUGGAUGAGUUGCGAACGGGUGAGUAACGCGUAGGUAACCUGCCUUGUAGCGGGGGAUAACUAUUGGAAACGAUAGCUAAUACCGCAUAACAAUGGAUGACACAUGUCAUUUAUUUGAAGGGGGCAAUUGCUCCACUACAAGAUGGACCUGCGUUGUAUUAGCUAGUAGGUGAGGUAAUGGCUCACCUAGGCGACGAUACAUAGCCGACCUGAGAGGGUGGUCGGCCACACUGGGACUGGGACACGGCCCAGACUCCUACGGGAGGCAGCAGUAGGGAAUCUUCGGCAAUGGGGGCAACCCUGAACGAGCAACGCCGCGUGAGUGAAGAAGGUUUUCGGAUCGUAAAGCUCUGUUGUAAGUCAAGAACGGGUGUGAGAGUGGAAAGUUCACACUGUGACGGUAGCUUACCAGAAAGGGACGGCUAACUACGUG
Molecule: ribosomal RNA, 497 nt
Filed under: uncultured bacterium
Lineage: Bacteria
Description: partial 16S ribosomal RNA
Rfam family: Bacterial small subunit ribosomal RNA
Source: RNAcentral